AUGGUCCGUCGGCUCCCGGCGUGCGGGCACCUGUUCCACGCGGGCUGCGUCGACCGGUGGCUGCACCAGCACGCCACGUGCCCGCUGUGCCGCACCGCUGUCAUCGUCGCCGGCGCACCCCAGCAGCGACCGGCCGAGCUGCCUGUCUGACGUACACGUACGUGCACGCUGGUGUAUUCUUUUUAUAACUGCAGCGCUUGCAUCACGAAUGUUUUUGAGAGAGAAUCGUGGUCGGAUUAUGUGCAACUGUCGUUCUAG
Molecule: ribosomal RNA, 258 nt
Filed under: Triticum aestivum (bread wheat)
Lineage: Eukaryota; Viridiplantae; Streptophyta; Magnoliopsida; Poales; Poaceae
Description: partial small subunit ribosomal RNA
Source: RNAcentral